Ribosomal RNA from Kwoniella mangroviensis CBS 10435, 122 nucleotides. NCBI's taxonomy places the organism in Eukaryota, Fungi, Basidiomycota, Tremellomycetes, Tremellales, Cryptococcaceae. The record is from Rfam.
GUCUACGGCCAUCGAACGUGGAAAGUACCGUAUCCCGUCAGCUUUGCGAAGUGAAGCCACGUAUCGCUCGAUUAGUACCAAGGUUGGGGACAACUUGGGAAUACCGAGUGCUGCUGUAGUUU